RNAcentral lists this ribosomal RNA (460 nucleotides) under uncultured bacterium. Its description in RNAcentral is "partial 16S ribosomal RNA". It matches the Rfam family "Bacterial small subunit ribosomal RNA", at positions 338 to 795 of the family's 1533-position model. The record is from RNAcentral.
CCUACGGGGGGCAGCAGUGAGGAAUAUUGGUCAAUGGACGAGAGUCUGAACCAGCCAAGUAGCGUGAAGGAUGACUGCCCUAUGGGUUGUAAACUUCUUUUAUAAAGGAAUAAAACGAGGCACGUGUGCCUUUUUGCAUGUACUUUAUGAAUAAGGAUCGGCUAACUCCGUGCCAGCAGCCGCGGUAAUACGGAGGAUCCGAGCGUUAUCCGGAUUUAUUGGGUUUAAAGGGAGCGUAGAUGGGUUGUUAAGUCAGUUGUGAAAGUUUGGGGCUCAACCGUAAAAUUGCAAUUGAUACUGGCAGUCGUGAGUACAGUUGAGGUAGGCGGAAUUCGUGGUGUAGCGGUGAAAUGCUUAGAUAUCACGAAGAACCCCGAUUGCGAAGGCAGCUUACUAAACUGUGACUGACAUUGAUGCUCGAAAGUGUGGGUAUCAAACAGGAUUAGAUACCCCAGUAGUC